GACGAACGCUGGCGGCGUGCCUAAUACAUGCAAGUCGAGCGAAGUUUUUCUGGUGCUUGCACUAGAAAAACUUAGCGGCGAACGGGUGAGUAACACGUAAAGAACCUGCCUCAUAGACUGGGACAACUAUUGGAAACGAUAGCUAAUACCGGAUAACAGUAUUUCUCGCAUGAGAGAUAUUUAAAAGUUGGUUAUGCUAACACUAUGAGAUGGCUUUGCGGUGCAUUAGCUAGUUGGUGGGGUAAAGGCCCACCAAGGCGACGAUGCAUAGCCGACCUGAGAGGGUGAUCGGCCACACUGGGACUGAGACACGGCCCAGACUCCUACGGGAGGCAGCAGUAGGGAAUCUUCCGCAAUGGGCGAAAGCCUGACGGAGCAACGCCGCGUGAGUGAAGAAGGAUUUCGGUUCGUAAAGCUCUGUUGUUAGGGAAGAAUGGAUAUGUAGUAACUCUACAUGUAAGAGACGGUACCUAACCAGAAAGCCACGGCUAACUACGUG
RNAcentral lists this ribosomal RNA (499 nucleotides) under uncultured bacterium. Its description in RNAcentral is "partial 16S ribosomal RNA". It matches the Rfam family "Bacterial small subunit ribosomal RNA", at positions 28 to 507 of the family's 1533-position model. The record is from RNAcentral.